RNAcentral lists this ribosomal RNA (497 nucleotides) under uncultured bacterium. Its description in RNAcentral is "partial 16S ribosomal RNA". It matches the Rfam family "Bacterial small subunit ribosomal RNA", at positions 28 to 507 of the family's 1533-position model. The record is from RNAcentral.
GAUGAACGCUGGCGGCGUGCCUAAUACAUGCAAGUCGAGCGAACGGACGAGAAGCUUGCUUCUCUGAUGUUAGCGGCGGACGGGUGAGUAACACGUGGAUAACCUACCUAUAAGACUGGGAUAACUUCGGGAAACCGUAGCUAAUACCGGAUAAUAUUUUGAACCGCAUGGUUCAAAAGUGAAAGACGGUCUUGCUGUCACUUAUAGAUGGAUCCGCGCUGCAUUAGCUAGUUGGUAAGGUAACGGCUUACCAAGGCAACGAUGCAUAGCCGACCUGAGGGGGUGAUCGGCCACACUGGAACUGAGACACGGUCCAGGCUCCUACGGGAGGCAGCAGUAGGGAAUCUUCCGCAAUGGGCGAAAGCCUGACGGAGCAACGCCGCGUGAGUGAUGAAGGUCUUCGGAUCGUAAAACUCUGUUAUUAGGGAAGAACAUAUGUGUAAGUAACUGUGCACAUCUUGACGGUACCUAAUCAGAAAGCCACGGCUAACUACGUG